ACAGCAAUGAUGCAUUAGUGUUUGAGUUUUUUCCACAUUGCCUCCAGCAUUUGUCAUUUUCUUUUUCUCUCAUGUUAGCAUUUACAAAUUUUUCAAAUAGUUUAUAUAAUAUUGAGAUUAAUUAUUCCUUUAAUGUUUGGUAGAAUCCACUUGUAAAGCCAUCUGGUCCUGGGAAUUUUUUUCUGAAAGAACUCAAAUGGCUUGGCGAUUUCUUCUUCUAAGCUAGGGUUAUUUCUUCCUCUGGAUGUGGAUAGUGUUCUUUCUCAUAGAUUCCUCAGAAUUGUCCUGGAUCAUUGCAUUACUGAUAGUAGAGAAGUCCAUUACAUUUGAUUAUACCACAGUGUAUCAGUCUCUGUGUACAAUGUUCUCCUGGAUCUGCUCCUUUCAUGUGGCAUUUAUGUGAAAACACAAACAAGAACUGCACAGGAGGUAACAUGAUACAAAUCUAUCCUAGUGAAGGAAAGAUUUCCAUCAGUGUGAUAAUGAAGCCAUCCAAAUGUCAGAGUAAAUAAAGGUAGGAUAGUCAUUCUACA
This 533-nucleotide long non-coding RNA is filed under the name Monodelphis domestica (gray short-tailed opossum). RNAcentral's name for it is "lncRNA (ENSMODG00000045055.1)". Lineage: Eukaryota; Metazoa; Chordata; Mammalia; Didelphimorphia; Didelphidae. The record is from RNAcentral.